CAGCCGCCACGGGAAUACGAAGGGUGCAAGCGUUACUCGGAAUUACUGGGCGUAAAGCGUGCGUAGGUGGUGGUUUAAGUCCGUUGUGAAAGCCCUGGGCUCAACCUGGGAAUUGCAGUGGAUACUGGGUCACUAGAGUGUGGUAGAGGAUAGUGGAAUUUCCGGUGUAGCAGUGAAAUGCGUAGAGAUCUGGAGGAAUACCGAUGGCGAAGGCAGCCAUCUGGCCUAAUACUGACGCUGAGGUACGAAAGCAUGGGGAGCAAACAGGAUUAGAUACCCCGGUAGUCCCUGUCUCUUAUAC
Molecule: ribosomal RNA, 301 nt
Filed under: uncultured bacterium
Lineage: Bacteria
Description: partial 16S ribosomal RNA
Rfam family: Bacterial small subunit ribosomal RNA
Source: RNAcentral